GCCAUCGUGGUGUAGUGGUCAGCACACUCGGCGCGUAUUCGAGAGGUCCGUGGUUCGAGUCCUGGCGAGGGCA
Molecule: transfer RNA, 73 nt
Filed under: Stegodyphus mimosarum
Lineage: Eukaryota; Metazoa; Arthropoda; Arachnida; Araneae; Eresidae
Rfam family: tRNA
About the family: Transfer RNA (tRNA) molecules are approximately 80 nucleotides in length. Their secondary structure includes four short double-helical elements and three loops (D, anti-codon, and T loops).
Source: Rfam by way of RNAcentral